Molecule: long non-coding RNA, 270 nt
Filed under: Lactuca sativa (garden lettuce)
Lineage: Eukaryota; Viridiplantae; Streptophyta; Magnoliopsida; Asterales; Asteraceae
Description: long non-coding RNA (LSAT_LNC005623)
Source: RNAcentral
GAAACAAGAGAUCCAGCAAGAACACCAGAAAGCGUCUCAACACCAAACAAAAUCCCAACAAUAAGAGGAGUCAACAUAACAAGAGCACCAGGUGGAAUCAUCUCCUUAAUAGAAGCAUCAGUAGAAAUCUUAACACACGUGGCAUAAUCAGGCUUAGCAGUUCCCUCCAUCAACCCAGGAAUCUCAUUAAACUGUCUCCUAACUUCCUCCACCAUCUUAAGCGCAGCCUUCCCGACACUCUUCAUAGUCAUAGCCGAGAACCAAUACGGA